The sequence is an unclassified non-coding RNA, 300 nucleotides long. The stretch from base 1 to 46 matches the Rfam family "Eukaryotic small subunit ribosomal RNA", at positions 1786 to 1831 of the family's 1831-position model.
AAGUCGUAACAAGGUCUCCGUAGGUGAACCUGCGGAGGGAUCAUUAACACGUAUCCACACGUUAUUAAACCAAACCCGUGCUCCUCUUUUUGCCCAUCACUGAACGGUGUAUAUGCAAGCCAUAAGAUAGAAUUCGAAUGCGCAGCCCCUUUGGGGGUUGUGUGUUUGUCUACUUGCAGUACUAUUUGUCUCUUCGAGGACUAAACCGAUUUGGUAUGGUGUAUCAAAAGCUAUCUUGGUUAUCAGUGCCACCCCGGUAUCGACCCGGAGCCUGGUAACCUUACUACUCCUUUCUUUUUU